Etheostoma spectabile (orangethroat darter) is the source of this 361-nucleotide long non-coding RNA. RefSeq lists it as uncharacterized. The transcript has 3 exons. Lineage: Eukaryota; Metazoa; Chordata; Actinopteri; Perciformes; Percidae. The record is from RefSeq and is a predicted model, not a curated record.
UUCAUAAUUGCACUCUUAAAUGUAACAUCAUAGGAAUACAGUACACUUUAAGUUUCCAUAAUGAUUUAGGUGAUGAUUUAGGGAUUUGUGUCAUCAACAGUGCAUGGGAAGAUGUAUUUCCAGUGUUGAACGUGUACGUGAAAAUAAUGUUCUCUGUAUGAACAAAUGUCUUUUUGGGCAAUUAUUGUAUACGUAGAAACAUAAUUGGAAUGUGCAAGUGUAUGUGAAGUAUACAGUUUGCAUUGUUAUUUAUUGCCGUAUAUUAUGUGUAAAUAAUGUCUACCCUGGCCUGAGACAUCCAGUGUAGAUUAGUUUUGAUAUAGAAAUAAACUUAUUAGUUGAGUGACAUUUUAGCAAGAGA